This 430-nucleotide ribosomal RNA is filed under the name uncultured bacterium. Its description in RNAcentral is "bacterial SSU rRNA". It matches the Rfam family "Bacterial small subunit ribosomal RNA", at positions 354 to 776 of the family's 1533-position model. The record is from RNAcentral.
GUGGGGAAUAUUGCACAAUGGGGGAAACCCUGAUGCAGCCAUGCCGCGUGUGUGAAGAAGGCCUUCGGGUUGUAAAGCACUUUCAGCGAGGAGGAAAGGAGGAUAGCUAAUACCUAUUCUCUGUGACGUUACUCGCAGAAGAAGCACCGGCUAACUCCGUGCCAGCAGCCGCGGUAAUACGGAGGGUGCAAGCGUUAAUCGGAAUUACUGGGCGUAAAGCGCACGCAGGCGGUCAGAUAAGUCAGAUGUGAAAGCCCCGGGCUCAACCUGGGAACUGCAUUUGAAACUGUCUGACUAGAGUCUUGUAGAGGGGGGUAGAAUUCCAGGUGUAGCGGUGAAAUGCGUAGAGAUCUGGAGGAAUACCGGUGGCGAAGGCGGCCCCCUGGACAAAGACUGACGCUCAGGUGCGAAAGCGUGGGGAGCAAACAGG